Molecule: long non-coding RNA, 4578 nt
Organism: Neoarius graeffei (lesser salmon catfish)
Lineage: Eukaryota; Metazoa; Chordata; Actinopteri; Siluriformes; Ariidae
Exons: 2
Source: RefSeq, a predicted model, not a curated record
UUUUUUGUAUUUUGAUUUGUCAUUUUUGUUUGAUAUUUCAAAAGUAUUGUAUGAACAUUUUGGCGCAAAAUUGAUUCCAUAAGACAUCAAGGUCAGAUUUUCAAUAAAAACAGACAAGACAGAUUUUCUGUUUCGUUUUGCUCUUGAGAACCAUCAUAAAAUGCUAUAGUGCAGGGGUUUUCAAAGUGUGGGAGAGUCAGCCCCCCCUCAGAGAGCAAAUAAACAACAGCGCCCCCCCCCCUUACAAUUUUUGUUGCUAUACUUAAUGUUCCAGUCGUAUUUUUAAAAAAUGGUUGUUGUACACUUUUAUUUUUUUCUUUUACACAUUUUAAACAUCUGUGCUUUUUGAAAACAUCUUUUUCUUUUACACGUUUUAAACAUCUCAUAGCAUCGUUAGCUAGCACUUCUUGGCAGACAACACACUGUGGCAGUGGAGCAUCUUCAGAUCCAGUCCAUGAAAAUCCAAACUUUAAAUAAUCGUGGUCAUACUUCCUUCUUUUUUUGCUUGGCUCAGACUCUGUCUCCUCACUCACUGUAGCUUUAGGUACUAAAAAUCGAUCCAUUUUGUCUCUGGCAAAGGCUAGCUGAAGUUCGCAAUAGUAACUUAUUCUGGUUUAUUUUUCCUCACGUUGCGCCCCCCCCCCCGAAGAACUCUGGCGCCCCCUAGGGGAGGCGUGCCCUGCACUUUGAAAAGCCCUGCUAUAGAGGAUCCACGCAAAUGGCACACGUGUAACAAGUGUUGCCAGGCAAAACAAACCUCGUCCGGCAGCACUUAUAUGUUGAUAAUGGUAAUAUUUCUCACUCAUCAGCUGUCACGUUAUAGUCCUAUGAAAAUCCAUGACCUUGAGUUUGACAUUUCAGAAUCAUUCAAGGUCAUAGAGGCAACUCAAAGCCCAUAUGGCACUUCUUAUAUGUUGAUAAACAUCUGGCUAUCAUGAACCAUUUUAAAGUUCCAGCCCUUUGAAAACCCAUGACCUUCAGUUUGACCUUUCAAGGUCAAAGAUCAUGGUGCCAAAUGAAAGCCCAUAGGGCACUUCGUAUAAGCUGAUAAUGGUAAAUAUCUGCCUACCAUCAACCGUUUUCAAGUUACAGCCCUCUGAAAAUCCAUGACCUUGAGUUUGACCUUUCAAGGCCAUAUUGGAGUUCCUAUAUGCUCAUAAUAGUAAACGUCUAUCUAUCGGCAACCGUUUGCGUUAUAAUGGAAAAUUAUUUUGACCAAAAGGUUGACCUUUCUGGUGGUAACCUUCACCUUGACCUGAGUACCCCCAAAAUUUAAUCAGGUAAUCUACGGACCGUUGCCUACCUACCCUAAGUCAAUCGGUGCAACCGCCUAGACGCUAGAUUGUUAAGACAGACAGACAGACAAACAAACAAACCGCACUUCCUGCUGAUUCCAUCACGGGUGAGGUAAAAAUGAUCACACGCUAUAAAUACUCGCGGGUGACACGUCCGUCCACAGCCUUUGACUUGACGCUUUGUACAGUUCACUGCUGCACAUGCAGGCGUCUUUCUUGUAAUUUUUCUCACCAACUGCAUCAAUAACGUGUCCAGUUUUAUGUAGCUUCCGGUAGCCGCUCUGCUCCGUCAUGCGAGUGGUAAGAUGGCUUCACUCUGACGAGCCUAUGAGCUCUCCAGGUUUUUACGUCGAGCUCAGUGUUGCACACCCACUGAAGCACAAUCUGGCAGGUUUUACCUCGGUGGAUUACUUGGUGCAAAAGGAUGGCAGGCGAUCUUUUCAGAAUCAGGAACGUGCAGGUCUGCCAAAACACUUAACGACACCAAGCAAAAUAAAUCCUAACACGACACAUGUAACAUCAUUUAGUUAACCACAUCAGGAACGAUUAGUUAGUGUGAACGCAGGGUCAGUCUCUUUAUCAAACAUCAAAACUCUCACGGCAGUCCCUGACUGGUUCUUUCCCUACCAAGCCUUUUAAAAAAAAAAAAAGCCACCUUGAUAUCUGUUUUCAAGCUAAUGCAUAUUCCUGAUAUUGAUUCUGUAUUAAAGCUUGUCUUUACAAUUUUAUUAAAUAUAGAUUUAUGUUAGGGUAUAUUAUUGUCCAAAAAAAUUUAUCAAAUAUAUGUAUGUUUUUACUGUUCCCAGUGUUAUAAAGCUUAAACAGUGCAUGUGUGCUUUGUGUUGCUUUUUUUUUUUUUUUAAUGUGUAGCCUUAAACAAGCACAAAUAUACUUUUCUUUGUACAGAUUCAGUAUUGUGAUGUAUGAAAUGAUACAGAUAUUUUCUCUAUAAUUCCUAUCAGGGCUUCAGGCAGCGUGUUUAACAUCACCCUUUGUAAGGCUUUAGACGCGACACGCAUGCAGUCUCCUGGGUGGUCAUGAAUGCACUCUAGUGAAUUGUGUUUGGCGUUAUUGCUGGAUAUUUCUGUGAAACCUUUGGUGCAGAGACGACAUCGGAUGUGUCGAGGGCAGCGGUGACUCAGUGGUUGGUUAUUGGUGGGGAAAUUUAGGAAUACUCUCUAAUUUUCCUUGAUGCUUGCAUUCGUCAGGCUUUUAUUAAGGACAUUUCAGCUGUGAGGACAGAGCAGCCACUCACACCUCGGAGACACUCACUUGUAAGUUACUUUGGAUAAAAGCCUCAGGUUAAUGAGCAAAUGUAAAUACUUGGGUGCUUCCUAUGUUUAACCUUUUAUGUUAUGAAUUCCUAACCCCCAUUCUUGUCUAAGAAAAGACAGGAUGCGCUGUCCUAUGACAGCAUGACUCCAAAUAUUUAGUCUUUAUACCGCAACGUUUUUAAGAAUUAAUUAAAAGAAUGACUGUAGAUAGUCAUUUCCUCACCAGCCUCUUUUCUCUCUCACAGCUUGCUGUACUAUAUUGAUUUAUUCUAUCCAUAAUCACUGGAUAUGAGCAACCGCGUGCUCGGAUUGGCUACUCUACUACUAGGAUAUCAGCUCAUAUACCGUGAGUAGAGAAAAACAAAAUGGCAGAGCGUGUUGCUGAACAAACCGAGGACGAAAUAAAAGUAUUUGUUAAGAACGUCUCUCUUCUCCCCCCCAAAUAAUUAUAGCAUUUUUCACAAAUUGCUACUGCCAUUUGUUUAAAGAUUAUUGAAUUUGCGAAAAAUAAAAAUGCUCCGUUUCUCAAAAUCCAGUGAAUGUGGAUCGAAUAAAACAGUUAUUCCAUUCAAUCUCAUCGUACAUGGCUUAUAGCUAACUUGGUGCUACGCACCUCAUCGGCUGUCAGCUCAUGUACGACUUGAUUUCGUGGAAUAACUUAAAUAAACCGCUGACACUGGAGACACUAUAAAUGUCUCCUUAUGUCUUUGAAACAACGUUAAAUUUGUUUAUUAAGGUUUGGAUUACGUGGCGCAUCCACCAUACAAGUCCUGAUAGCGUAUUUAAUUCGUUACUAACUCCAACACAGUGAAAGCCCUUUCUUCACAAGUCUCAGCUUGUUCAGACGCCAGGCUCGGAGUGCACAAUAUAGCAGUUGUGGGAUUCGAUCCUUAACCACUGAGCCAUCACUUCCUGUCAGGCCGAUGAGCUGAAUGAGAAGGCAAGUGAUGAGUGGGAUAUUGGAUAUGUGAAAACAUCGACAAGGUGGCCCACGUGUGCAAACGCACCUCGUGAUCUGCAUGCGGAUGUCCCACACGUAGUGAUGUCACUUUAAAUUCACACUUCAUGUAGCAAAACAUCUGAUCAGGAAGUGAGAGAGUGAAGCAUGGAAAAAGAAACGAGGACAUGCACUGGCUUUGGAUAGAAGACGCGUCUGCUAAAUUCAUGCAUGUAAAAAUCAAUCGUGUGAUGAUACAGGAUGUCUUGAAAUGAUGUACUGUACCUCUGCUUACUGGAAUGUGGAGGGAAUUCCUGUAUGUGCAUGUCAGAAACAUAGUGAAGGAAAUAUUCAGAAGAAAAUCACCGUGUUAUCUGUGUAGUCAUGUUUUGGGUGAAUGUAGGAGCAGACUAGUAGACGCAAUGGUGGUGUUCAGAAUAUUCCCAAAUUAAUAGCAUUAAUGGAUGAAGGAAAUUAAAAUACCUUUUAAUGAAUGCUCCUGAAAUAACUUGCUAGCACUAUAAUAAUAAUAAAAAGGCAUCUUACCUAAAAACUUUCUACUAGCUAUGUUUGUUCUCCAACAAGGUGCAAUUUGACGUGUUUCUGGCUGCACAUUAAAACACACCAUAGCUGUUUCUCUGGAACAAGCAGCACGUGACCUCUCUCCUUCUCCCCGUGCGGUUCAGGACCCUGAAACUGCAUGCAUGUUUUGAUUUGAUUUGAAGCAUGACAUUUUAGAUCACUUUUUGGCUCUUGAUGCUGUUUUUGUUGGGUAGAUACCACGCUGGCAAGAAAAAAAAAAAAAAAAAAAACCCUGACGUGAAAGAUCAUUUCACGUUAGCAAUGACUAAACUGUGUCAAAUCAUUUCACGUCACAUUCUUACAGAAAAUGUCCUUAGUACCACCGUCACCUUUAAUAUUCUGUGUUAUGAUAAACUCGUAAGUAAGUGGGGGUGGUGAAAACAAAUAUGAGAAAUGUAUGUAUAGUAUAUUCUUCUUUUGUGUACAAUAUAAGCUGGUUUAUUACUCUUCUGUUCAUAUUCUUGUGAAAUAAAAAGUUAUUUUAUCACAA